AGCUCCAAUAGCGUAUAUUAAAGUUGUUGCGGUUAAAAGCUCGUAGUUGGAUUUCUUCUCUUGUCAGCCGGUCCUCACUUCGUGAGAGUAUCUGGUCAGAUUUGAGAAUCCUCUUGGGGAACGUCGCUGCGCUUGAUUGCGUGGCACGGUAUCCAAGACUUUUACUUUGAGGAAAUUGGAGUGUUCACGGCAGGCUUUCGCCUUGUACACAUUAGCAUGGAAUAAUAAUAUAGGAUCACGAUUCUAUUUUGUUGGUUUCUAGAGUUGUGAUAAUGAUUAAUAGGGACAAUUGGGGGCAUUUGUAUUAACACGUCAGAGGUGGAAUUCUUGGAUUGUGUUACGACAAACUACUGCGAAAGCAUUUGCCAAGGAUGUUUUCA
This 380-nucleotide ribosomal RNA is filed under the name uncultured eukaryote. Its description in RNAcentral is "SSU rRNA". It matches the Rfam family "Eukaryotic small subunit ribosomal RNA", at positions 587 to 972 of the family's 1831-position model. The record is from RNAcentral.